CAAUAACAACAUGUACUUUAGUUUAACCCACACAGUUAAAAGUUCUAAUAAACUAAAACUAAAAUUCUUCAAUAUCUUUAUAUUUUAUGACAUCAGUAUCAUAUUCACCAUCUUCAUUAGAAAAUCAUUUCCUUCACGUUUGACAUUAACUAAAUUACUAAUAGUCUACAUUUACAACCAUUAACCAAUAAUCUAAUAUUCUGUAAAUUAUAAAAUUAAAAUAAUAAAUCCUAGUGACCUAGACUAUAAAAGCUUAAAACAAAAAAAAAUCUAAAUGACUAAAUUCUAAUCUAUGAAAGCUUAAAAAAAAUCAUGGCAAAAAACAGCGAUGACAACAGAGUCAAAGAUGUCGUAUAAAAGCCAAAAAAUGACAGACUUAACGACAGCAAAGGAAAAAUAGGUGAAUUCGUGAACAGCAGCAGCAAGGUGGAGUUGCGAACAACAAAAACGCGAAAAAAGGUAGAGUAGAGAGCAACAGAGGUAGAGACCCAUGAAGAUGAUGGCACAAAGCAGAGUAGAGUAGCAGACGCAGGUGGAUGGCGGCAACGCAACGACAAGCAGAAAAUAAGAGAGUGAGACUUGAGAUGAGAGAAAUGACGUAGAUGAGUGAGUUUGAGUGGUGAGUGAGUGCUUUAGGAAUGUUAUUGUAGCCUAAUAGAAAAACAUGUGUGGGUUUUUUUUUCAGGUCAAAACAAUGCCAUUUUUGGAUAAAAUUGGGCAAAAACACAAAUUUGCUGACUCGGUCCUGGACUCGUGAGUUUGACUGAGUCUAGCCGAGUUUACUUAGGAUCGAGUUUAUGUUCGAGUCAACUCGAUUUCACAACUAAAUUUGUAACGAGUUUAUGAGUUAACUCGCGAGUUUGACAACGAUGACUAAGAUGGUAUAUUUUUAUUAGAGAAAUACUAGGGGCAAUCAAAAUUUAUUAUUUUUUGCUAUCACUUAGCUAUAACUCAAUU
This 957-nucleotide long non-coding RNA is filed under the name Arachis ipaensis. Its description in RNAcentral is "long non-coding RNA (AIPA_LNC000858)". Lineage: Eukaryota; Viridiplantae; Streptophyta; Magnoliopsida; Fabales; Fabaceae. The record is from RNAcentral.